UGCCAAUUGAACCUCUUGAUAGCAGGUGUUUUGAGUGGCUAUGUGUAUUUGCCCUUGAACCUCUUGAUAGCAGGUGUUUUGAGUGGCUAUGUGUAUGUGCCCUUGAACCUCUUGAUAGCAGGUGUUUUGAGUGGCUAUGUGUAUUUGCCCUUGAACCUCUUGAUAGCAGGUGUUUUGAGUGGCUAUGUGUAUUUGCCCUUGAACCUCUUGAUAGCAGGUGUUUUGAGUGGCUAUGUGUAUUUGCCCUUGAACCUCUUGAUAGCAGGUGUUUUGAUUGGCUAUGUGUAUUUGCCCAUGAACCUCUUGAUAGUAGGUAUUUUGAGUGGCUAUGUGUAUUUGCCCAUGAACCUCUUGAUAGCAGGUGUUUUGAUUGGCUAUGUGUAUUUGCCCAUGAACCUCUUGAUAGCAGGUGUUUUGAGUGGCUAUGUGUAUUUGCCCAUGAACCUCUUGAUAGCAGGUGUUUUGAGUGGCUAUGUGUAUUUUGCCCUUGAACCUCUUGAUAGCAGGUGUUUUGAGUGGCUAUGUGUAUUUGCCACUUGAACCUCUUGAUAGCAGGUGUUUUGAGUGGCUAUGUGUAUUUGUUACUGGUCUUCAGUUUCAGCCCCAUCUGAGGCAGCAUUAAGAGUUUAUACACUUAGUCUUUCCAUGCACAUUCAUACUGAAAAAGCAAAAUGUCUCUAGGAAAUUCAUCUGGUGGUCCUCUUAAGGAUAGUUUGCUGCAUUUACUAGACGUCUCACUUUGGCUAUGAAUUCCUCAAGGUAUAGGCUACCUUUGCUAUGAAUGAUGAAAUACCAAAGCUCUGUUCAAUAAGCUGUGGUUUUACAAAUGUCUUGAAUCUAUCCAGUAGCUGUCUAGUAAUUUUCCUUCCUCACUUAUCAGGCCACAGAUGUUAAACAGUUCAAACAGUACCCUACAGAUACUGCAGUAACUUGCACUGAAAAGUUCAUCACAUGUCUAUACAACUUGUAUCUGCUGUAUAACACAGCAAAAGCUGAUAUUUGUUCCAUUAUCUGGGAACGAUGUUCUGAUUGUGAUUCCUGUUGAAUAUCAUUUCUUGAUUGUAUGUGUACAUGUUUCUGUAUGGCUGCAAUAACCAAAGCCAGUAGUACAGCUUGCUUUAUCAGUGUCCAAUACAAUCCACACCACACUUCUGACGUGCACAUUGUGGAAACUUGUGUUUGGUGAAGACUGUUGAACAUAUCCAGGUGAGCUACAGUGUAUUUAUAAUCGGAGAUGUGUCACAUGUAACCAGAUAUCAGAAAUGUAUGACAAUGUUGCAAGAUUUACAUUAUUUUACUUCUUCUAAGAAGCAUGUGACGUCAUUGUAAUUGUCAUGUCGGAUUGAGGUUUGAUACAGUUGUCAUAGGAAGAUAGUUUGGAUGUCAUUCCGGAUCUGUACUUGAGUUAAGUGUAUAUUCAAUGUUACCCAAUAGACCAGAGCCAAAAUAUUGAGUGUCUGCACAUAAGUGUAACACUCACUAUCUAUGGUGGACUACUUUUCCUCGCUACAGCCUUCUUGUUUUCCUGGAAUGUUACUGAUGCCAAAAUGAAUUGUGAGUUAAUUACAUCCUGCAUGUUAAAAACACAUUGAAAUUGCAUUAAUAUGCAUCAGAGGAAUAUUUCAAGCAGAGACUUGUGUGUAGAUCUGCUGUACAUGUUGGAUUGAUUUUGUAGGAUGUGUGUCCCAUUCAAUGAAUGCUUUUGUUCUGAUUGUCAUGAAUGAAUUUGUAAGCAUGAGGAUAAUGCUGGGGACAGGAGGUGGAUCUUUAUUGAAAUAAUCAUGUUUUUCAGUGAAAAAUAUCCUCUUCAUCUGUUCAUCAAUGAAAUCGAUCUCACAAUAGACAGGCACUGACAUGAUCAUGCCAGGUAUUUUUACAUGGCAAUACAUUAUACCUGAUCCAUCUCUCCAGUAAAAGUACCAACUGAAUUCCCAGUGCUCCUGUUGCACAGAUUAUGGAGGUAUGAAGCAGAGGCUAUUCAGUUUAAGCUGGGAAACAACUUGGAAACAGUGAAAAGAAUAAAUUUAGAGUGUGGAUAUAUUUUUACGAAGCUAACUGCAGUAUCUUUUACUGAAUAGGAAUAGAUAGACAUAGCCCAAAAAUAAGGAACUGAAGCUGAAAGUGUCUGUGAUAUUCCCAGGUGUUACUGCAUUUACACAAUGCACAAUUUUGGGUCUCAUCACUCAUGACUGUGAAGGUCCAAUGUCAAAAUGUCAAUCUAGAAUUUGUGACCUUUUUAGCACAUUCAAGAUGUUCAGUAUACUGCAAACAAUGUCGGCAGAUCAUGAAUGAAUCAACCUGCAAAAUACACAUUUUGAUCAUCUGUAAGGAAAACCCAAUUUGGUUAUUCUCAGAUAUCACUGAUUACAGGGUGUAGCCAUUUGUAGGUAUGCAGUAUUUAUAUACAUUUCAGCAAGAAAAGUAGCUUGUGCCUUUUGUUGGGGAAAAAUGUUCAAAUGGUGAAUAAAGUGCUUCUCAUUGCA
Molecule: long non-coding RNA, 2483 nt
Organism: Haliotis rubra (blacklip abalone)
Lineage: Eukaryota; Metazoa; Mollusca; Gastropoda; Lepetellida; Haliotidae
Exons: 2
Source: RefSeq, a predicted model, not a curated record